This 450-nucleotide ribosomal RNA is filed under the name uncultured bacterium. Its description in RNAcentral is "partial 16S ribosomal RNA". It matches the Rfam family "Bacterial small subunit ribosomal RNA", at positions 354 to 796 of the family's 1533-position model. The record is from RNAcentral.
GUGUGGAAUUUUGGACAAUGGGCGCAAGCCUGAUCCAGCAAUGCCGCGUGCAGGAAGAAGGCCUUCGGGUUGUAAACUGCUUUUGUACGGAACGAAACGGUCCGGGUUAAUACCCUGGGCUAAUGACGGUACCGUAAGAAUAAGCACCGGCUAACUACGUGCCAGCAGCCGCGGUAAUACGUAGGGUGCAAGCGUUAAUCGGAAUUACUGGGCGUAAAGCGUGCGCAGGCGGUUUUGUAAGACAGGCGUGAAAUCCCCGGGCUCAACCUGGGAAUUGCGCUUGUGACUGCAAGGCUGGAGUGCGGCAGAGGGGGAUGGAAUUCCGCGUGUAGCAGUGAAAUGCGUAGAUAUGCGGAGGAACACCGAUGGCGAAGGCAAUCCCCUGGGCCUGCACUGACGCUCAUGCACGAAAGCGUGGGGAGCAAACAGGAUUAGAUACCCGAGUAGUCC